UACGUAGGUGGCAAGCGUUGUCCGGAUUUACUGGGCGUAAAGGGCGUGCAGGCGGUUUGUUAAGUCUAGGGUGAAAGCUCCCGGCUCAACUGGGAGAGGUCCUUGGAUACUGGCAGACUUGAGGAGAGUAGAGGAGAGUGGAAUUCCCGGUGUAGUGGUGAUAUGCGUAGAUAUCUGGAGGAACACCGGUGGCGAAGGCGGCAUCCUGGACCAAUAUUGACGCUGAGGAGCGAAAGCCAGGGGAGCAAACGGG
This 253-nucleotide ribosomal RNA is filed under the name uncultured bacterium. RNAcentral describes it as "partial 16S ribosomal RNA". It matches the Rfam family "Bacterial small subunit ribosomal RNA", at positions 524 to 776 of the family's 1533-position model. The record is from RNAcentral.